CUUAACUAGAUGUCACAGUGCAUUUUUUUAUUAUCCCCCCCUUUUCAGCCCGAAUAAAUAAAGGGAAGUUUCUACUGCUGAUAAAAAGUUCAGGCAUGGGACACAUAAUAUAUCAUCUCUUGGAUGCAUUCUAGGGAUUUAAAAGCUGAGAGUCUUGGUGCGGCAAACAUGAGGACCGUGGCGUGAUGGAACAGGCAUGAGCAUGACGAUGAAGAACACGGGCUUGGAUUGGGGAGUGACUGCAGAUGUUAAGAUGCCAUGAUGAGGGAAGUACACAGUUUUUUUUGGGAGGAUACAGAUGAAUGGAAGUUGUAAAGAGUGUUCACGUUUUCAGACUGAAGAGCAGGAGGUUGUUGAUGAGUCAGAUUCAGUAAGAGUAGAUACAUGACAAGAGUUCACUCUGCUCGCAUGUAGGUAAAUGAAAAAAUACAAAGAUUUAACUGUUUUCAAGGUCCAAUAAGUUCAUGCAUUUUCCUUUGUAUGUUUUUCCAUUUAUGACACGUGUCAAAUUUCCAUGAUUUUGUAUCACUGUCAAUGCAAAACCUUGCUUUUCCUAUAAAACUCAAAGAUUUCGUUUAUUUCCCAUGUUAUCUGCAUAAAAAUACUUGGUGGACUAUUCCCUAUUUAAUUGGAGGUCCAAACUGAAAAAUAAUAGCCUAUUUUAUUUCCAUGAAAAACUAAAUGAUGGAAGUAUGAAAUAUAUUUAGGCUUCAAGAACAUGAUGAGGGAGCUGCAUAUCUAACUCGAGACAAUUUCUGUGUUGGCUUUUGACUAGGACAAUUGCUUGAUAUUACUCCAGGCCGUGCAUCCAUUUGUUCGUGCAACGUCUCAGCUUUAUUUACAUUAUAAUACUAAUGAUAUCAUGUAGGUUAUGCAUAUACUGCGAGCUAUUUGGCUAUGUAUUAGCAUCAGGUAUACUAAUAUUUCAUGUUAUUUCUCCAGUCUUCACUUUGGCAUAUCGUCUCACUUUUGGUUUUUUCCAUCUAUAUGUAAAUGGCAUUAUCCACACAAGCAAUGAACCUCCCUACGGGUGUAUAUUUUUAUUCACAUGACAGGUUGUGACGACGCGGUGGGCAACCUGGGUCUGGUCGUUUUCCAUGAUUAUAGCGUAUAAAAUUCCCUGAAUUGUAGAGAAGUGUGUAGACGCAAUUUGUUGUACACAGGGAAGCAAACUCAUUAGGUUUCCAAAAAAACUUCUUGUAGAUACUGGAAGAUAUUAUACCGUGUG
This is a non-coding RNA of Lolium perenne, 1228 nucleotides long. The record is from RefSeq and is a predicted model, not a curated record. Lineage: Eukaryota; Viridiplantae; Streptophyta; Magnoliopsida; Poales; Poaceae.